UACGGAGGGUGCAAACGUUGCUCGGAAUCAUUGGGCGUAAAGCGUGCGUAGGCGGUUCGGUAAGUCGGAUGUGAAAGCCCUGGGCUUAACCUAGGAAGUGCAUUCGAAACUGCCGGGCUAGAAUGUCGGAGAGGAUGGCGGAAUUCCCGGUGUAGAGGUGAAAUUCGUAGAUAUCGGGAGGAACACUUGUGGCGAAGGCGGCCAUCUGGACGAUGAUUGACGCUGAGUGCACGAAAGCGUGGGGAGCAAACAGG
RNAcentral lists this ribosomal RNA (254 nucleotides) under uncultured bacterium. Its description in RNAcentral is "partial 16S ribosomal RNA". It matches the Rfam family "Bacterial small subunit ribosomal RNA", at positions 524 to 776 of the family's 1533-position model. The record is from RNAcentral.